GAACGCUGGCGGCGUGCCUAACACAUGCAAGUCGAACGGAGUGCAGACGCUGAAGAUCAAAGUAGCUUGCUAUAGAGAGAUUCUGUUGUACUUAGUGGCGGACGGGUGAGUAACGCGUGGAAAACCUGCCUCAUACAGGGGGAUAACAGGAAGAAAUUCCUGCUAAUACCGCAUGAGCGCACACUGUCGCAUGGCAGAGUGUGAAAAGAUUUAUCGGUAUGAGAUGGUUCCGCGUCUGAUUAGCCAGUUGGCGGGGUAACGGCCCACCAAAGCGACGAUCAGUAGCCGGCCUGAGAGGGCGGACGGCCACAUUGGGACUGAGACACGGCCCAGACUCCUACGGGAGGCAGCAGUGGGGGAUAUUGCACAAUGGAGGCAACUCUGAAUGCAGCGACGCCGCGUGGGUGAAGAAGUUAUUCGUAAUGUAAAGCCCUAUCAGCAGGGAAGAUAAUGACGGUACCUGACUAAGAAGCCCCGGCUAACUACGUGCCAGCCGCGGC
RNAcentral lists this ribosomal RNA (500 nucleotides) under uncultured bacterium. Its description in RNAcentral is "bacterial SSU rRNA". It matches the Rfam family "Bacterial small subunit ribosomal RNA", at positions 31 to 518 of the family's 1533-position model. The record is from RNAcentral.